Molecule: ribosomal RNA, 253 nt
Filed under: uncultured bacterium
Lineage: Bacteria
Description: partial 16S ribosomal RNA
Rfam family: Bacterial small subunit ribosomal RNA
Source: RNAcentral
UACGGGGGGGGCAAGCGUUGUUCGGAAUUACUGGGCGUAAAGGGCUCGUAGGUGGCCAACUAAGUCAGACGUGAAAUCCCUCAGCUUAACUGGGGAACUGCGUCUGAUACUGGAUGGCUUGAGAUUGGGAGAGGGAUGCGGAAUUCCAGGUGUAGCGGUGAAAUGCGUAGAUAUCGGAAGGAACAUCAGUGGCGAAAGCGACUUCCUGGACCAAUACUGACGCUCAUGUGCGAAAGCGUGGGGAGCAAACAGG